Molecule: long non-coding RNA, 609 nt
Filed under: Carica papaya (papaya)
Lineage: Eukaryota; Viridiplantae; Streptophyta; Magnoliopsida; Brassicales; Caricaceae
Description: long non-coding RNA (CPAP_LNC013321)
Source: RNAcentral
CGGUGGAGCUGAGAGUUGAAUCUAGUGGAAAUGAAGUUAAAGGAUAAUAGAGAGGAGUGUAAUGAUGAAAAAGAAAAGCGGAGAUAUAAUUAGGUGAAUUAAGCAGUUGUGUUGAGUGAUCUCGUUGAUUUGUAUAUACUGUUUAAUGUUUUCAAUUUGCUAGAAAAAGCGUUGCAUAUAUAUAUAAACUCCAGAAUGGAUGAGAACGGAUAGUGCAGGUAAGCAGUAUAGUUCUGCAAAUAGGUGAAAAUGUAAGCAAGCUAAAUGUGGGUCAUUUUGUUUAAUUUGCAUAAUCUGUUAUGGAGCUUGAAAUGACUUGAAAGUGGCUGGAAGAAACAUGCAGGAUGGAAAUAAGAGGAAAUUACAGGUAAGUGAUUUGAGUUGAGGAAAACACCCACUGGGUGAAUGAGUUUCUGCACUGUAAUGCAAAUUCUGGUUGCUUGAGGUGCUGACUUGAGCUUACUGAGUGUCUUAUGCUCGUCCUAUUAAUCUAAUGUUAUUUUUCCAGAUCAAAUCAAACAGGAAGAUGAUCCCGAUCCAGUUAACGUUGUCUCGGAAGCUUAGAGAAAAAGAAAACUAAAGUUGUGUAGGAGUGGGAUGUGAUAGAGG